CAAUUGACCCGAAGACAGAUCAAACUUGUGACCUUGAACCCACCAUCCAUCAAAAAAGUACAGAAUAAAGCAGGACUGGGGAAAGACACCUCCUUUCUUGGAGCUGCUUUACUUCUUUUUUUUUUUUUAAUUUUCCUUUUCUUUCUUUUUUUUUUUUUCGAGAUGGAGUUUUGCUCCUGUUGCCCCUGGCUGGAGUACAGUGGUGCAAUCUCAGCUCACUGCAACCUCCACCUCCCGGGUUCGACCGAUUCUCCUGCCUCAGCCUCCCGAGUAGCUGGGAUUACAGGCAUGCGCCACCACGCCUGGCUCAUUUUUGUAUUUUUAGUAGAGAUGGGGUUUCACCAUGUUGGUCAGGCUGUUCUCAAACUCCUGACCUCAGGUGAUCCGCUUGCCUUGGCCUCCCAAAGUGCUGGGAUUACAGGCAUGAGCCACUGUGCCUGGCCACUUCUUUCUUUUUUCUUUUGAGAUGGAGUCUCCCUCUGUGGCUCAGGCUGGAGUACAAUGGCACAAUCUUGGCUCACUGCAACACCCACCUCCCAGGUUCAAGUGAUUCUCCUGCCUCAGCUUCCCAAGUAGCUGGGAUUACAGGCACCCACUACCACACCCGGCUAAUUUUUGUAUUUUUAGUAGAGAUGGGGUUUCACCAUGUAGGCCAGGCUGGUCACAAACUCCUGACCUCAAGUGAUCCACCAGCCUCGGCCUCCCAAAGUGCUGGGAUUACAGGUGUGAGCCACCGCACCCGGCCUGGAGCUGCUUUUCAGCCAAUUCUAGACUCUGGCACUUGGCUGCCGGAUGUCCUUCUUUCAUGCCUUCUCCAGAGAGUGGCCCCAGGAAUUUGCAGCCAGAGGGCUCUUUCUAAAAUGCAAAUCUCGACCAGCGCAGUGGCUCACUGCGCUGGAGUAAUUCCAGAUCUUUGUAAUCCCAACCCUUUGGGAGGCCGAGGCAAGAGGAUCACUUGAGGUCAGGAGUUUGAGACCAGCCUGGCCAACAUGGUGAAACCUCGUCUCUGCUACAAAUACAAAAUUUAGCCGGGCGUGGUGAAGCACACCCAUAAGUCCAGCUAUUCAGGAGGCUGAGGCAGGAGAAUCGCUUGAACCCAGGAGGUGGAGGUUGCGGUGAGCAAGACUGUACCACCACACUCCAACCUGGAUGACAGAGACUCCAUCUCAAAAAUAAAAAAUAAAGUAAAAAUGCAAAUUUCA
Symphalangus syndactylus (siamang) is the source of this 1202-nucleotide long non-coding RNA. RefSeq lists it as uncharacterized. Lineage: Eukaryota; Metazoa; Chordata; Mammalia; Primates; Hylobatidae. The record is from RefSeq and is a predicted model, not a curated record.